RNAcentral lists this ribosomal RNA (1058 nucleotides) under Limosilactobacillus fermentum. RNAcentral describes it as "bacterial SSU rRNA". It matches the Rfam family "Bacterial small subunit ribosomal RNA", at positions 397 to 1447 of the family's 1533-position model. The record is from RNAcentral. Lineage: Bacteria; Bacillati; Bacillota; Bacilli; Lactobacillales; Lactobacillaceae.
CCGCGUGAGUGAAGAAGGGUUUCGGCUCGUAAAGCUCUGUUGUUAAAGAAGAACACGUAUGAGAGUAACUGUUCAUACGUUGACGGUAUUUAACCAGAAAGUCACGGCUAACUACGUGCCAGCAGCCGCGGUAAUACGUAGGUGGCAAGCGUUAUCCGGAUUUAUUGGGCGUAAAGAGAGUGCAGGCGGUUUUCUAAGUCUGAUGUGAAAGCCUUCGGCUUAACCGGAGAAGUGCAUCGGAAACUGGAUAACUUGAGUGCAGAAGAGGGUAGUGGAACUCCAUGUGUAGCGGUGGAAUGCGUAGAUAUAUGGAAGAACACCAGUGGCGAAGGCGGCUACCUGGUCUGCAACUGACGCUGAGACUCGAAAGCAUGGGUAGCGAACAGGAUUAGAUACCCUGGUAGUCCAUGCCGUAAACGAUGAGUGCUAGGUGUUGGAGGGUUUCCGCCCUUCAGUGCCGGAGCUAACGCAUUAAGCACUCCGCCUGGGGAGUACGACCGCAAGGUUGAAACUCAAAGGAAUUGACGGGGGCCCGCACAAGCGGUGGAGCAUGUGGUUUAAUUCGAAGCUACGCGAAGAACCUUACCAGGUCUUGACAUCUUGCGCCAACCCUAGAGAUAGGGCGUUUCCUUCGGGAACGCAAUGACAGGUGGUGCAUGGUCGUCGUCAGCUCGUGUCGUGAGAUGUUGGGUUAAGUCCCGCAACGAGCGCAACCCUUGUUACUAGUUGCCAGCAUUAAGUUGGGCACUCUAGUGAGACUGCCGGUGACAAACCGGAGGAAGGUGGGGACGACGUCAGAUCAUCAUGCCCCUUAUGACCUGGGCUACACACGUGCUACAAUGGACGGUACAACGAGUCGCGAACUCGCGAGGGCAAGCAAAUCUCUUAAAACCGUUCUCAGUUCGGACUGCAGGCUGCAACUCGCCUGCACGAAGUCGGAAUCGCUAGUAAUCGCGGAUCAGCAUGCCGCGGUGAAUACGUUCCCGGGCCUUGUACACACCGCCCGUCACACCAUGAGAGUUUGUAACACCCAAAGUCGGUGGGGUAACCUUUUAGGA